RNAcentral lists this ribosomal RNA (1513 nucleotides) under uncultured Planctomycetota bacterium. RNAcentral describes it as "bacterial SSU rRNA". It matches the Rfam family "Bacterial small subunit ribosomal RNA". Lineage: Bacteria; Pseudomonadati; Planctomycetota. The record is from RNAcentral.
AGAGUUUGAUCAUGGCUCAGAACGAACGCUGGCGGCGUGGCUAAGACAUGCAAGUCGAACGGACCAUGUGAUUGGGUAACUGAGAUCAUGGUUAGUGGCGAAAGGAUGAGGAAUGGAUAGGUAACGUGCCUUGUGCACCGGGAUAGCGUCUGGAUGCUUGCAUCCUUCCGAAAGGGGCGGUAAUACCGGAUAAUACCAUAGAAUGCGAGUUUUAUGGUCAAAUAGUUAAUUCUGGCAUAAGAGCGGCCUAUUCCCUAUCAGUUAGUUGGUGAGGUAACGGCUCACCAAGACAACGACGGGUAGCGGGACUGAGAGGUUGGCCCGCCAUAUCGGGACUGAGACACUGCCCGGACCUCCACGGAGGGCUGCAGUAACGAAUAUUGGACAAUGAGCGAAAGCUUGAUCCAGCGACGCCGCGUGUAGGAUGAAGCCCUUCGGGGUGUAAACUACUGUCAGGGGUAAGUAAGCUUCGGUUGAACUAACCCACAGGAAGUCACGGCUAACUUCGUGCCAGCAGCCGCGGUAAUACGAAGGUGGCAAGCGUUGUUCGGAAUCACUGGGCUUAAAGCGUACGUAGGCGGAAUUAAAAGCGUCUUGUGAAAUCCCCCGGCUUAACCGGGGAACUGCGAGGCGAACUGCAAUUCUUGAGGCAAGUAGGGGUGCACGGAACUCUUGGUGGAGCGGUGGAAUGCGUAGAUAUCAAGAGGAACGCCAGAGGUGAAAACGGUGCACUGGGCUUGUCCUGACGCUGAGGUACGAAAGCGUGGGUAGCGAACAGGAUUAGAUACCCUGGUAGUCCACGCCGUAAACGAUGCCUACUAGGUAGUGGGAGUUCUGACACUUUCACUGCCGAAGCAAAAGUGUUAAGUAGGCCGCCUGGGGAGUACGGUCGCAAGGCUAAAACUCAAAGGAAUUGACGGGGGCUCACACAAGCGGUGGAGCAUGUGGAUUAAUUCGAAGCAACGCGCAGAACCUUACCUGGGUUUGACAUGCUUGGAUGCCUGCCUGGAAACAGGAUUUGGCUGCCUUUCGGGGUGAAACUUGCACAGGUGCUGCAUGGCUGUCGUCAGCUCGUGUCGUGAGAUGUUGGGUUAAGUCCUUAAACGAGCGAAACCCUUGCCGUUAGUUGCCAACAGGUAAUGCUGGGGACUCUAGCGGGACUGCCGGUGUUAAACCGGAGGAAGGCGGGGAUGACGUCAAGUCCUCAUGGCCUUUAUGCCCAGGGCUUCACACGUGCUACAAUGGUGCGGACAGAGCGACGCAAGACCGCGAGGUGGAGCAAAUCGCAAAAACCGUGCCUCAGUUCGGAUUGCAGGCUGUCAACUCGCCUGCAUGAAGUUGGAAUCGCUAGUAAUCGCGUAUCAGCUACGACGCGGUGAAUGUGUUCCUGAGCCUUGUACACACCGCCCGUCAAGUCACGGAAAUCGGGAGCACCCGAAGUCGGAUUGUUAACCUUUUAGGAGACGUCUGCCUACGGUGAGUUCGGUAACUGGGACUAAGUCGUAACAAGGUA